RNAcentral lists this ribosomal RNA (447 nucleotides) under uncultured bacterium. Its description in RNAcentral is "bacterial SSU rRNA". It matches the Rfam family "Bacterial small subunit ribosomal RNA", at positions 355 to 825 of the family's 1533-position model. The record is from RNAcentral.
UGGGGAAUAUUGGACAAUGGGCGCAAGCCUGAUCCAGCCAUGCCGCGUGAGUGACGAAGGCCUUAGGGUUGUAAAGCUCUUUUGGCGGGGAAGAUAAUGACGGUACCCGCAGAAUAAGCUCCGGCUAACUUCGUGCCAGCAGCCGCGGUAAUACGAAGGGAGCUAGCGUUGUUCGGAAUCACUGGGCGUAAAGCGCACGUAGGUGGGCAGUUAAGUCAGGGGUGAAAGCCCGAGGCUCAACCUCGGAAUUGCCUCUGAUACUGGCUGUCUAGAGUCCGAGAGAGGUGGGUGGAAUUCCUAGUGUAGAGGUGAAAUUCGUAGAUAUUAGGAAGAACACCGGUGGCGAAGGCGGCCCACUGGUCCGACACUGACGCUGAGGCGCGAAAGCGUGGGGAGCAAACAGGAUUAGAUACCCUCGUAGUCCCUGAGCGGGCUGGCAAGGCGCAU